This 62-nucleotide transfer RNA is filed under the name Gyraulus sp. GE1. RNAcentral's name for it is "tRNA-Ala". The record is from RNAcentral. Lineage: Eukaryota; Metazoa; Mollusca; Gastropoda; Planorbidae.
GUAAAAAUAUUUUAUAAAGAAUUUUUAGUUUGCAACUAAAAGGAGAUUUUUAUCUUUUUACA